Non-coding RNA from Odocoileus virginianus texanus, 986 nucleotides. NCBI's taxonomy places the organism in Eukaryota, Metazoa, Chordata, Mammalia, Artiodactyla, Cervidae. The record is from RefSeq and is a predicted model, not a curated record.
UAAACCUAAGCCAAAAUGGGAAAGGAGAAGACCCGCAUGAACAUCGCUGUCAUUGGGCACGUAGAUUCAGGAAAGACUACCACGACUGGCCAUCUGGCCUAUAAUGUGACGGGAUCGACAAGAGAACAACUGAAAAGUUCAAGAAGGAGGCUGCCGAGAUGGGAAAGGGCCCCUUUCAAAUAUGCCGGGUCUUGGACAAGCUGAAAGCUGAAUGUGAGCGUGGUAUCACCACUGAUAUCUCCCUGUGGAAAUUUGAGACCAGCAAGUACUGUGUUACCAUCACUGAUGCCCUAGAACACAGAGACUUCAUCAAAAACAUGAUUACAGGCACACUUCAGGCUGACUGUGCUGUCCUGAUUGUUGCUGCUGGUGUUGGUGAAUUUGAAGCCGGUAUCUCCAAGAACAGGCAGACCUGUGAGCAUGCCCUUCUGGCUUACACUCUGGGUGUGAAACAACUCAUUAUUGGAGUUAACAAAAUGGAUUCCACUGAGCCACCCUAUAGCCAGAAGAGAUACGAGGAAAUUGUUAAGGAAGUCAGCACCUACAUUAAGAAAAUUGGCUACAACCCCGACAUGGUAGCAUUUGUGCCAAUUUCUGGCUGGAAUGGUGAUAAUGUGCUGGAGCCAAGUGCUAACAUGCCAUGGUUCAAGGGAUGGAAAGUCACCCGAAAGGACGGCAAUGCCAGUGGAACCACCCUGCCUGAAGCUCUGGAUUGCAUCCUGCCACCAACUCACCCAACUGACAAACCCUUGCGUUUGCCUCUCCAGGAUGUCUAUAAAAUUGGUGGUAUUGGCCCUGUCCCUGUGGGUCAUGUGGAGACUGGUGUUCUCAAACCUGGCACGGUGGUCACCUUUGCUCCAGUCAAUGUAACAACUGAAGUGAAGUCUGUAGAAAUGCACCAUGAAGCAUUGAGUGAAGCCCUUCCUGGGGACAAUGUGGGCUUCAAUGUCAAGAACGUGUCUGUCAAAGAUGUCCGUCGAUAUUAG